UCAGUAACACGUAGUCAACCUAACCUAUGGACGUGGAUAACCUCGGGAAACCGAGAAUAAACCGCGAUAGAUCAUUAUGCCUGGAAUGGCUUAUGGUUCAAACAAUUUAUUGCCGUAGGAUGGGACUGCGGCCUAUCAGCUUGUUGGUGAGGUAAUGGCCCACCAAGGCUAUAACAGGUACGGGCUCUGAGAGGAGAAGCCCGGAGAUGGGUACUGAGACACGGACCCAGGCCCUAUGGGGCGCAGCAGGCGAGAAACCUUAGCAAUGUGCGAAAGCACGACUAGGUUAAUCCGAGUGAUUUCUGUUGAAGAAAUCUUUUGUCAGUCGUAAAACCACAGACGAAUAAGGGGUGGGCAAGU
This 360-nucleotide ribosomal RNA is filed under the name unidentified archaeon. RNAcentral describes it as "bacterial SSU rRNA". It matches the Rfam family "Archaeal small subunit ribosomal RNA", at positions 90 to 451 of the family's 1478-position model. The record is from RNAcentral.